AAUCUCAACAAAGAUAUACCUAAUUCAUACAUAGUUAUACUUUUUUAGUUUCAGAAUUUUGAAAGUUACAAAAUCGGCAAAGUUCUACUAUAAUCUGCUAAUUGUGUAAAGUUUAAAGUUCAUACCGCUCUAUCGUCGUUAGAGAUUAGAUUUGUUGCUUCAGAAUCCACUUCAGCAGCCGACGCUACUACUACUUCGUCAUUGAUUGUCUGUGAAACUACCUCCGCCGCCAACGGCACACCUGCGUUCUUUGUUCGAGCCAUUUCUCCAAACCUACAAACAAAAUCAUUUGGAUUAGUACUACUCUUCAAUCAAUUUCGAUCACAAAACCCAAUCUGAAAUAACUCGGAUCCGAUUUUAACUUACCCAAUUUCUUAGUUUUCUACAGAUAUACCAAGAUCGACGAACAGAUCUGUCGUUGUCGUUGACGAGAAUUGAGAAUUGUUUUACUGGAUUUAGAUUUACAGUGAAGAAAUAAGAAAAAAAAACAGAAAAGAAAGAGAAGAAAGAGAUCGUGAAUCGAUUUUACCGCAGAGAAUUUGGAAAACCUAGUGUUUUACUAGGGUUUUAUUGGAUAUGACCCAAAUACAAUGAGCUUGGAUAAUUUUGGAAUCCAUUUAUAUUGGUUGGGUCGUAAAUAAUCAAUAUUUUUAAGGUUUUCUAUGUCAUUUACUUCUUUUACGGAUAAAAGAAAAUCAUUUUUU
This 704-nucleotide small RNA is filed under the name Arabidopsis thaliana (thale cress). RNAcentral's name for it is "ATSL170240". Lineage: Eukaryota; Viridiplantae; Streptophyta; Magnoliopsida; Brassicales; Brassicaceae. The record is from RNAcentral.